UCUAGGACUACUCCACCAUUUUGUAGGUGAAGAAACUCCUGCAAAAAGUCUCUGGAAGAGCAGAUGCUAUGGCAAGGUCAAGUACCAAAGUAUACCCUGGUACCCAGUCCUCCCAGCCAGGGGUAUCCACUUCACGCUGGAAGGACUUGUUUGCGUGAGGAAGCUGAGAUGCAGAGAUUAGAAAGUUGCCCAGUGUCACAUAUUUGGAAAUGCUUCGCCUUCCCACCAGACCGUGUGACAUAAACCAUGGAGCCCUGUCCAAACCUAGAGACCAUCCAACAUCAGCACACCUGUAGGGCGGAGGAGGAUAAAUAAAACAAUGAACUCUGA
Molecule: long non-coding RNA, 330 nt
Organism: Phyllostomus hastatus (greater spear-nosed bat)
Lineage: Eukaryota; Metazoa; Chordata; Mammalia; Chiroptera; Phyllostomidae
Exons: 3
Source: RefSeq, a predicted model, not a curated record